AUUGAACGCUGGCGGCAGGCUUAACACAUGCAAGUCGAGCGGGGGAAGGUAGCUUGCUACUGGACCUAGCGGCGGACGGGUGAGUAAUGCUUAGGAAUCUGCCUAUUAGUGGGGGACAACAUCUCGAAAGGGAUGCUAAUACCGCAUACGUCCUACGGGAGAAAGCAGGGGAUCUUCGGACCUUGCGCUAAUAGCUGAGCCUAAGUCGGAUUAGCUAGUUGGUGGGGUAAAGGCCUACCAAGGCGACGAUCUGUAGCGGGUCUGAGAGGAUGAUCCGCCACACUGGGACUGAGACACGGCCCAGACUCCUACGGGAGGCAGCAGUGGGGAAUAUUGGACAAUGGGGGGAACCCUGAUCCAGCCAUGCCGCGUGUGGGAAGAAGGCCUUAUGGUUGUAAAGCACUUUAAGCGAGGAGGAGGCUACUUUAGUUAAUACCUAGAGAUAGUGGACGUUACUCGCAGAAUAAGCACCGGCUAACUCUGUGCCAGCCGCCGCCGUAA
RNAcentral lists this ribosomal RNA (501 nucleotides) under uncultured bacterium. RNAcentral describes it as "partial 16S ribosomal RNA". It matches the Rfam family "Bacterial small subunit ribosomal RNA", at positions 30 to 523 of the family's 1533-position model. The record is from RNAcentral.